This 274-nucleotide ribosomal RNA is filed under the name uncultured bacterium. Its description in RNAcentral is "partial 16S ribosomal RNA". It matches the Rfam family "Bacterial small subunit ribosomal RNA", at positions 523 to 796 of the family's 1533-position model. The record is from RNAcentral.
AUACGGAGGGCGCAAGCGUUGUUCGGAAUUACUGGGCGUAAAGCGCGUGUAGGCGGUUCGGCAAGUCGAAUGUGAAAGCCCCGGGCUCAACCCGGGAACUGCAUCCGAAACUGCCGAGCUAGAGUCCCGGAGAGGAAGGCAGAAUUCCCAGUGUAGGGGUGAAAUCCGUAGAUAUUGGGAGGAAUACCAGUGGCGAAGGCGGCCUUCUGGACGGUGACUGACGCUCAGACGCGAAAGCGUGGGGAGCAAACAGGAUUAGAAACCCCGGUAGUCC